This 1372-nucleotide ribosomal RNA is filed under the name uncultured bacterium. RNAcentral describes it as "bacterial SSU rRNA". It matches the Rfam family "Bacterial small subunit ribosomal RNA", at positions 28 to 1381 of the family's 1533-position model. The record is from RNAcentral.
GAUGAACGCUGGCGGCGUGCCUAAUACAUGCAAGUCGAGCGAACAGACAAGGAGCUUGCUCCUUUGACGUUAGCGGCGGACGGGUGAGUAACACGUGGGUAACCUACCUAUAAGACUGGGAUAACUUCGGGAAACCGGGGCUAAUACCGGAUAAUAUUUCGAACCGCAUGGUUCGAUAGUGAAAGAUGGUUUUGCUAUCACUUAUAGAUGGACCCGCGCCGUAUUAGCUAGUUGGUAAGGUAACGGCUUACCAAGGCGACGAUACGUAGCCGACCUGAGAGGGUGAUCGGCCACACUGGAACUGAGACACGGUCCAGACUCCUACGGGAGGCAGCAGUAGGGAAUCUUCCGCAAUAGGCGAAAGCCUGACGGAGCAACGCCGCGUGAGUGAUGCAGGUCUUCGGAUCGUAAAACUCUGUUAUUAGGGAAGAACAUACAUGUAAGUAACUAUGCACGUCUUGACGGUACCUAAUCAGAAAGCCACGGCUAACUACGUGCCAGCAGCCGCGGUAAUACGUAGGUGGCAAGCGUUAUCCGGAAUUAUUGGGCGUAAAGCGCGCGUAGGCGGUUUUUUAAGUCUGAUGUGAAAGCCCACGGCUCAACCGUGGAGGGUCAUUGGAAACUGGAAAACUUGAGUGCAGAAGAGGAAAGUGGAAUUCCAUGUGUAGCGGUGAAAUGCGCAGAGAUAUGGAGGAACACCAGUGGCGAAGGCGACUUUCUGGUCUGUAACUGACGCUGAUGUGCGAAAGCGUGGGGAUCAAACAGGAUUAGAUACCCUGGUAGUCCACGCCGUAAACGAUGAGUGCUAAGUGUUAGGGGGUUUCCGCCCCUUAGUGCUGCAGCUAACGCAUUAAGCACUCCGCCUGGGGAGUACGACCGCAAGGUUGAAACUCAAAGGAAUUGACGGGGACCCGCACAAGCGGUGGAGCAUGUGGUUUAAUUCGAAGCAACGCGAAGAACCUUACCAAAUCUUGACAUCCUUUGACAACUCUAGAGAUAGAGCCUUCCCCUUCGGGGGACAAAGUGACAGGUGGUGCAUGGUUGUCGUCAGCUCGUGUCGUGAGAUGUUGGGUUAAGUCCCGCAACGAGCGCAACCCUUAAGCUUAGUUGCCAUCAUUAAGUUGGGCACUCUAAGUUGACUGCCGGUGACAAACCGGAGGAAGGUGGGGAUGACGUCAAAUCAUCAUGCCCCUUAUGAUUUGGGCUACACACGUGCUACAAUGGACAAUACAAAGGGCAGCGAAACCGCGAGGUCAAGCAAAUCCCAUAAAGUUGUUCUCAGUUCGGAUUGUAGUCUGCAACUCGACUACAUGAAGCUGGAAUCGCUAGUAAUCGUAGAUCAGCAUGCUACGGUGAAUACGUUCCCGGGUCU